UACACAUGAGAAUGCCUUCCAUGGUCAUCC
RNAcentral lists this non-coding RNA (30 nucleotides) under Mus musculus (house mouse). Lineage: Eukaryota; Metazoa; Chordata; Mammalia; Rodentia; Muridae. The record is from RNAcentral.